UCGGGGGUCGUCUAAUGGCAGGACAGCGGGUUUUGGUCCCGCCGGUCGGGGUUCGAAUCCCUGCCCCUGAGCUA
RNAcentral lists this transfer RNA (74 nucleotides) under Fidelibacterota bacterium. Its description in RNAcentral is "tRNA-Gln". It matches the Rfam family "tRNA". From Rfam's summary of the family: Transfer RNA (tRNA) molecules are approximately 80 nucleotides in length. Their secondary structure includes four short double-helical elements and three loops (D, anti-codon, and T loops). Further hydrogen bonds mediate the characteristic L-shaped molecular structure. tRNAs have two regions of fundamental functional importance: the anti-codon, which is responsible for specific mRNA codon recognition, and the 3' end, to which the tRNAs corresponding amino acid is attached (by aminoacyl-tRNA synthetases). tRNAs cope with the degeneracy of the genetic code in two manners: having more than one tRNA (with a specific anti-codon) for a particular amino acid; and 'wobble' base-pairing, i.e. permitting non-standard base-pairing at the 3rd anti-codon position. The record is from RNAcentral. Lineage: Bacteria; Pseudomonadati; Fidelibacterota.